GGAGCCGUGUGAUGAUGACAUAGCGAACUAUUCUUUCGCCUUUUACUAAAGAAUACCGUGUCAGCGUCACAAUUAGCGGCAUACGCUAGUUUUUGGAAGAGUUCUCAAUUUUGAGGGCUCUG
This 122-nucleotide small nuclear RNA is filed under the name Lathyrus oleraceus (garden pea). RNAcentral's name for it is "Pisum sativum (pea) ncRNA". It matches the Rfam family "U5 spliceosomal RNA". Rfam says of the family: U5 RNA is a component of both types of known spliceosome. The precise function of this molecule is unknown, though it is known that the 5' loop is required for splice site selection and p220 binding, and that both the 3' stem-loop and the Sm site are important for Sm protein binding and cap methylation. Lineage: Eukaryota; Viridiplantae; Streptophyta; Magnoliopsida; Fabales; Fabaceae. The record is from RNAcentral.